GACGAACGCUGGCGGCGUGCUUAACACAUGCAAGUCGAACGGAAAGGCCCUGCUUUUGUGGGGUGCUCGAGUGGCGAACGGGUGAGUAACACGUGAGUAACCUGCCCUUGACUUUGGGAUAACUUCAGGAAACUGGGGCUAAUACCGGAUAGGAGCUCCUGCUGCAUGGUGGGGGUUGGAAAGUUUCGGCGGUUGGGGAUGGACUCGCGGCUUAUCAGCUUGUUGGUGGGGUAGUGGCUUACCAAGGCUUUGACGGGUAGCCGGCCUGAGAGGGUGACCGGCCACAUGGGGACGGAGAUACGGCCCAGACCCCAACGGGGGGAAGGAGGGGGGAAUAUUGCACAAGGGGCGGAAGCCUGAGGCAGCAACGCCGGGGGGGGGAUGACGGCCUUCGGGUUGAAAACGGCUUUCGCCUGUGACGAAGCGGGGGUGAGGGUAAUGGGUAAAGAAGCACCGGCUAACUACGU
Molecule: ribosomal RNA, 467 nt
Filed under: uncultured bacterium
Lineage: Bacteria
Description: partial 16S ribosomal RNA
Rfam family: Bacterial small subunit ribosomal RNA
Source: RNAcentral